GCUGCGCAGGCGCGCUCCGUCUUGACUCCCGAGCGGUCCUGCCUGGUGAGCGCGCACGCACCAGGCCUGGAAAGGCGGCCUCGGGGAGACAGAAAAGAGGGCAGAAGGGGAGGGAAGAGAAAAGAGAGGAAACAUCAGGGAAGGAGGAGGAACCAUCUUCCUCUCACCCCUGCCACUCCUAGUCUGUUUUGUAAGCUGAUGUAUCUCAAGGGCCUGGGACAGCACCUGGCACAUCAUAGGCGCUCAGUAGGUUCCCAAAAUGAGACUCCCCAAGAAGAAGGAAAACAUAAACUCACGUCCAUCCUCUUCCAGGUAUAGAAGUUGACCUUGGUGUCUGGGACAGUGAUAUUCUCACUGAAGCUGCAGCCUUCAGCACAGCCCAUCUGAAAUGCACGACCCCCGAGUCAGGCUCCCCGAGGGCUCCCCUCCACCAUUGCCCCUUACCUAGCUUCCAGCUUGUCGCUCCCACCCCGAACCUUCCCAGCGCUCGGGUUCUGCCUCCUUGGCCUUCAUUCAAUCCCCGCCGCCGCCGCGGUGAGCACACCCCACCCCCCAAACUACCGGCAUCCCCUUCUCCCGGGCAAACUUCAAUCCCGGUGUGACAGAGGCUUCCCCUCUCGCAGAUCCCGGGGAUUGCUCCAAGACCCAGGUAUCAGCUUCCUCCCCACGCACGGAGCCGCCGCUCUUCCCCCCGAACCCGCAAACCGCGUCCCCGUGCCCGGGUCAGAUUUCACCUUUUCCCGGCGGCUCCGGGAGCCCUGCCGGCACGUGGAGGCUGCCCCACCCCCCUUGCCCUUCCGGGGUCCUUGGCAAGUUGUCGGUCCUUGAACCCGGCCACCUCGGGGCCACUAGCCCCAGCGGUAAAUUCCUGCUCAAACAGGGGCCCAGGCGGGCGGGGGCUCCUCCAGCCGGCGGGUACUCACCGCACGACCCCAUCUCCGCGCCUCCCCCGGCCCCUCAGCGACCAGGGGCUCGGCCGGCGCCCUUGCCGGGAGCCCUCAUCCCGGGAAGCGCGGCGGGGCAGGGCCGGCCUCACGCCCUGAGGGAAGGGGCCACCGUCCGAGGGCCGCCGAGCCGGGGUCGCGCACAGCGAGCGCAGGACUGCUGGCCACGGUCCGCGAGGACUGGCGCGCGGCGACCGGUCGGGGUUGGCCCGGGGACUGCGGCUCGGCCGGGGGUCGGGGCUGUUAUCAGCAUGUGUGCGUGCGUGUGUGGGGGUGGGGGGCAGGCUGUGUGCGUGAGGGGUCGCCGGAGGUAGGGGCCAGAGGGGUCAGACCGGGGCAGGACGCCUAGGUCGGGGGUUCGCCGGGGCGGGAGCACAGCGGCCGCAGGCGCGGAGCGGGGCACCGGUCUGCGCGUCCGAGCCCGGGUUCUGGGAGGUGCCGCUGGGUGCGCACCCGCGGGAGGGGUGCCAUUCUGGGAAAGGCUGGGGGCCUCCGACGCUCCCUGGGGGUGGGAGAGUGGGGCGUCCCGUUCUCGGGCCAAGGUGGGGGGGUUCAGAGCUGGGGGUGCCGGUUCCUGCGAGGCAGCUGGGUCUGGAGGCCGGGAAGGUGCUGGCAGAGGCGAGUUGCCUUCCUCUCACAAUCCCACUACUUCUAGAAGCCAGUAUUUGUUCAUGGUCUGGAAUUUUAUGGGGGCACACGAAGCAAGAAAUCUGGGGGUCUUCUCUCCCCACUCAUCACUUUCCAGGACUCUGAAAACCCAGAAAUGGAACUUUCGGGCACCUGGUAUGUUGUGCAGGACAGGCCAUGCACUUUGACAUCCUUUUUGUUGUUUUUGUCUCUGACCUGUGAUAUAGGUUAGUCUGCGUGGCAGAAUUCUUAAGAACUCUGAAAUAGAGCUAUCCCCCAGAAUGAUGGCUCUUCAGAUUUGCAGCUCAGCCUUUGGGGCUUCUAGGAAGCAUCCGGGCAAGCUGUCUAGAGCAGGAGUCCAAGGCUGGCUGGUCUCUCAAACCUUGGAAAGAGGUCUCAGUCCUGAGCCUCAGUGCCCUGACCUAUCAAAUGGGGCUGAUGGAAGUCCCAGUCCCAAAGUCCUACAAAUACAGAUGGUUAUAUAUAUUCCUUCACAUCCUUACCAGUUCUGUGAUACUAAAGAUAUCUCAUUCAAGCCAUCGGUGCCUUCUUUUGUCAAGUCAGCUGACUUUUGCAAGACAAAAAGAUGUGUUUGAGACCUU
Long non-coding RNA from Leopardus geoffroyi (Geoffroy's cat), 2173 nucleotides. RefSeq lists it as uncharacterized. The record is from RefSeq and is a predicted model, not a curated record. Lineage: Eukaryota; Metazoa; Chordata; Mammalia; Carnivora; Felidae. The transcript has 4 exons.